GAUGAACGCUGGCGGCGUGCCUAAUACAUGCAAGUCGAGCGAACAGACGAGGAGCUUGCUCCUCUUACGUUAGCGGCGGACGGGUGAGUAACACGUGGAUAACCUACCUAUAAGACUGGGAUAACUUCGGGAAACCGGAGCUAAUACCGGAUAAUAUAUUGAACCGCAUGGUUCAAUAGUGAAAGACGGUUUUGCUGUCACUUAUAGAUGGAUCCGCGCCGCAUUAGCUAGUUGGUAAGGUAACGGCUUACCAAGGCAACGAUGCGUAGCCGACCUGAGAGGGUGAUCGGACACACUGGAACUGAGACAAGGUCCAGACUCCUACGGGAGGCAGCAGUAGGGAAUCUUCCGCAAUGGGCGAAAGCCUGACGGAGCAAAGACGCGUGAGUGAUGAAGGUCGUCGGAUAGUAAAACUCUGUUAUGAGGGAAGAACGAAUGUGUAAGUAACUAUGCACGUCUUGAAGGUACCUAAUCAGAAAGCCAAGGCUAACUACGUG
This 497-nucleotide ribosomal RNA is filed under the name uncultured bacterium. Its description in RNAcentral is "partial 16S ribosomal RNA". It matches the Rfam family "Bacterial small subunit ribosomal RNA", at positions 28 to 507 of the family's 1533-position model. The record is from RNAcentral.